GGGUUGUGAGGUUAAGCGACUAAGCGUACACGGUGGAUGCCCUGGCAGUCAGAGGCGAUGAAGGACGUGCUAAUCUGCGAUAAGCGCCGGUAAGGUGAUAUGAACCGUUAUAACCGGCGAUUUCCGAAUGGGGAAACCCAGUGUGACUCGUCACACUAUCAUUAACUGAAUCCAUAGGUUAAUGAGGCGAACCGGGGGAACUGAAACAUCUAAGUACCCCGAGGAAAAGAAAUCAACCGAGAUUCCCCCAGUAGCGGCGAGCGAACGGGGAGGAGCCCAGAGCCUGAAUCAGCAUGUGUGUUAGUGGAAGCGUCUGGAAAGGCGCGCGAUACAGGGUGACAGCCCCGUACACAAAAGCGCAUGUGCUGUGAGCUCGAUGAGUAGGGCGGGACACGUGGUAUCCUGUCUGAAUAUGGGGGGACCAUCCUCCAAGGCUAAAUACUCCUGACUGACCGAUAGUGAACCAGUACCGUGAGGGAAAGGCGAAAAGAACCCCGGCGAGGGGAGUGAAAAAGAACCUGAAACCGUGUACGUACAAGCAGUGGGAGCACCCUUUGGGGUGUGACUGCGUACCUUUUGUAUAAUGGGUCAGCGACUUAUAUUCUGUAGCAAGGUUAACCGAAUAGGGGAGCCGGAGGGAAACCGAGUCUUAAUUGGGCGUUAAGUUGCAGGGUAUAGACCCGAAACCCGGUGAUCUAGCCAUGGGCAGGUUGAAGGUUGGGUAACACUAACUGGAGGACCGAACCGACUAAUGUUGAAAAAUUAGCGGAUGACCUGUGGCUGGGGGUGAAAGGCCAAUCAAACCGGGAGAUAGCUGGUUCUCCCCGAAAGCUAUUUAGGUAGCGCCUCGUGAAUUCAUCUCCGGGGGUAGAGCACUGUUUCGGCUAGGGGGCCAUCCCGGCUUACCAACCCGAUGCAAACUGCGAAUACCGGAGAAUGUUAUCACGGGAGACACACGGCGGGUGCUAACGUCCGUCGUGAAGAGGGAAACAACCCAGACCGCCAGCUAAGGUCCCAAAGUCAUGGUUAAGUGGGAAACGAUGUGGGAAGGCCCAGACAGCCAGGAUGUUGGCUUAGAAGCAGCCAUCAUUUAAAGAAAGCGUAAUAGCUCACUGGUCGAGUCGGCCUGCGCGGAAGAUGUAACGGGGCUAAACCAUGCACCGAAGCUGCGGCAGCGAACGUAUCACUUAAAGCGAUUCAGCGGGUUACGAUUGACGGAGCGAAGCGACGUCAAAGCGUAUACAAAGUCGAGUCGGUUUAAGGAUACGUUCGUUGGGUAGGGGAGCGUUCUGUAAGCCUGCGAAGGUGGCCUGUGAGGGUUGCUGGAGGUAUCAGAAGUGCGAAUGCUGACAUAAGUAACGAUAAAGCGGGUGAAAAGCCCGCUCGCCGGAAGACCAAGGGUUCCUGUCCAACGUUAAUCGGGGCAGGGUGAGUCGACCCCUAAGGCGAGGCCGAAAGGCGUAGUCGAUGGGAAACGGGUUAAUAUUCCCGUACUUGGUGUUACUGCGAAGGGGGGACGGAGAAGGCUAUGUUGGCCGGGCGACGGUUGUCCCGGUUUAAGCGUGUAGGUGUGUGUUCCAGGUAAAUCCGGUUCACUUUAACACUGAGGCGUGACGACGAGGCACUACGGUGCUGAAGCAACAAAUGCCCUGCUUCCAGGAAAAGCCUCUAAGCAUCAGGUAACAUCAAAUCGUACCCCAAACCGACACAGGUGGUCAGGUAGAGAAUACCAAGGCGCUUGAGAGAACUCGGGUGAAGGAACUAGGCAAAAUGGUGCCGUAACUUCGGGAGAAGGCACGCUGACAUGUAGGUGAAGUGAUUUACUCACGGAGCUGAAGUCAGUCGAAGAUACCAGCUGGCUGCAACUGUUUAUUAAAAACACAGCACUGUGCAAACACGAAAGUGGACGUAUACGGUGUGACGCCUGCCCGGUGCCGGAAGGUUAAUUGAUGGGGUCAGCGCAAGCGAAGCUCCUGAUCGAAGCCCCGGUAAACGGCGGCCGUAACUAUAACGGUCCUAAGGUAGCGAAAUUCCUUGUCGGGUAAGUUCCGACCUGCACGAAUGGCGUAAUGAUGGCCAGGCUGUCUCCACCCGAGACUCAGUGAAAUUGAACUCGCUGUGAAGAUGCAGUGUACCCGCGGCAAGACGGAAAGACCCCGUGAACCUUUACUAUAGCUUGACACUGAACAUUGAGCCUUGAUGUGUAGGAUAGGUGGGAGGCUUUGAAGUGUGGACGCCAGUCUGCAUGGAGCCGACCUUGAAAUACCACCCUUUAAUGUUUGAUGUUCUAACGUGGACCCGUGAUCCGGGUUGCGGACAGUGUCUGGUGGGUAGUUUGACUGGGGCGGUCUCCUCCUAAAGAGUAACGGAGGAGCACGAAGGUUGGCUAAUCCUGGUCGGACAUCAGGAGGUUAGUGCAAUGGCAUAAGCCAGCUUGACUGCGAGCGUGACGGCGCGAGCAGGUGCGAAAGCAGGUCAUAGUGAUCCGGUGGUUCUGAAUGGAAGGGCCAUCGCUCAACGGAUAAAAGGUACUCCGGGGAUAACAGGCUGAUACCGCCCAAGAGUUCAUAUCGACGGCGGUGUUUGGCACCUCGAUGUCGGCUCAUCACAUCCUGGGGCUGAAGUAGGUCCCAAGGGUAUGGCUGUUCGCCAUUUAAAGUGGUACGCGAGCUGGGUUUAGAACGUCGUGAGACAGUUCGGUCCCUAUCUGCCGUGGGCGCUGGAGAACUGAGGGGGGCUGCUCCUAGUACGAGAGGACCGGAGUGGACGCAUCACUGGUGUUCGGGUUGUCAUGCCAAUGGCACUGCCCGGUAGCUAAAUGCGGAAGAGAUAAGUGCUGAAAGCAUCUAAGCACGAAACUUGCCCCGAGAUGAGUUCUCCCUGAGACUUUAGGUCUCCUGAAGGAACGUUGAAGACGACGACGUUGAUAGGCCGGGUGUGUAAGCGCAGCGAUGCGUUGAGCUAACCGGUACUAAUGAACCGUGAGGCUUAACCUUACAACGCCGAAG
Molecule: ribosomal RNA, 3008 nt
Filed under: Salmonella enterica subsp. enterica serovar Abaetetuba str. ATCC 35640
Lineage: Bacteria; Pseudomonadati; Pseudomonadota; Gammaproteobacteria; Enterobacterales; Enterobacteriaceae
Description: bacterial LSU rRNA
Rfam family: Bacterial large subunit ribosomal RNA
Source: RNAcentral